UAACUUAUUGCUAACUAAAGGGGUAAUUACAAAGAAAAGACAAACAAUGAAGAGAAACAAGGUUUAAAAUGAUCACCCUGCCAGAUCGGAAGUCCAAAGUGAAUCUUGAAAUAUGUCAAAACUGAGCCCUUCUAAUAUUAAGAUGAAAAUUAAGAUGCCAUAUCACAAUCAAGGCAUAUCCAAAAAAACUACUGUAUCAGAAAUGCAUACUUCCUCAAAUCAUAUGAAUAUGAUGUAUUUCGAACCUUUAUAUGAUACCAUCAUUGAUAGAAUCUAAUCAAAUGGGAAAAGCUUUUGUAACAAACAAUAUUGACUUUCAUAACAUAGACUACUAUAAUGAAAAGAAAUAAACAGAGAAUUUUUGCGCCAAAAAAAAUGUUGCUCCAUUGUAACCUAGGUGUCAAUCAUUCGAAACAUAGAAACAGCUACUCCAUAAUGGAGGUAAGGCCGCGCAUAUCUAACCCUUUCUAGAUCCCAUAGUGGUGAGAGACGUGCAUUGGGGUGUCUUUCUUGUCGAAGGGGCCUCAAUCGAUCAAGUCAGUGAAAUCCCCGCUUUUGCUUUUUGCUCUUUCUUAAGCCUGCAUUUGAAGAUCUUUAGAGGUGAACCUAUAUAAUAGACGCGGGUGGAAACAAAAACUUAAUUUUUAUUUUUUGCUAGUGGCUACGUGAGUUAGUUUGAUUGUGUUGUGACCAUGGUAUGUUGGGCUGGCACCGAGCAACGGAUCGGUUGCCCAGCGGCACGAGUCGGUAUGAACCUGCACAAUAGAGAAGGUGAGGGAGAGGGUGAAGGAAAGAAAAGAAAAAAGAGAGAGAAGGGGGAGAGAGGGAGGGUGGCAGAGGCCAGCGACUCGGGCAAGUGGCAAAGAAAGGCUCCACAGCCGGGUUCGAACAAAAUAGGGAUUCAACUAUUUUUAAAUUUGGCAAUUUUUAAGUGAAGUUGGCAAAUUGCUUGCCGACUUCACUUAAAAAUUGCAAAAUUAAAAAAGGGUGAUUUGCCGACUUCACUUCAAAAUCGUAAAAUUAAAAAAGCGGCUUUCCGACUUCACUUAAAAAUUACAAAAUUUAAAAGGGAUGAUUUGCCGACUUCAUUUCAAAAUUCUAAAAUUAAAAAAGCGGCCAAACCCUAUUUCGAACGAAACAGGAAACCCUGCCGCGGAGCCCGGAGGAGCGUCCUCCGCGCGGCUCGCCAACUUACGCCUACCCUCCACUAGCCAGUCUUCGCUGGCCAACCUCCACCUCCCUCUCUCUUCCUUUCUCUCCCUCCCUCCACCGCUCACUCUUUUUCCUCUCUUUCCUUCUCCUUCUCCCCCUCUGGCAACGUGUUUUAUUUCCGUUGUCGGAACCGUCCCAGUCCGCCACCAGGAUGGCUCGGUACAACCGAAACCAUCCGAUUCGGGACGGUUAUGCCGAUCCUGGUCAAGACAGUUAUGACUAAAUCAUUGCUAUAUUGGUGAAGAAAUUUGAGUUUUUAUCUAAAGCUUUCGCUAAGUAUGGGAUUUCUUCAGCAAAGCUUUUCCAAAUUAAAAAAAAGUUUCCGGUUGUUGCAAAUUUUCUGCAUUGAAGUUGAUAGUUCUUCCAAAGGAGUCAUGAGAAUAUAAAACACUCCCAUUAAAGUCACAUGAGUUCGGAGCUCCAACAGAGACAACACAAACAAGGAACUUAGACGGUGAUCAUACAGCCACAUUUAGAGUCCAAACCAUAUACAACCGCAAGUAAAGAAUGCAAAACAUUAGCUGACACAGAGAAGCAAACAUCCAAUCUCUCCUGAAUCAAUAUGACAAAUCUUAUUUAAGGGCGGAAGAAUAAAAGCAACGGGACACAAGAUCAGCAUUUCAAAUCCCACCUCAUGCCUUUACCAAGCAACAACAAACUGUUCUUUCCAGACAAAAUAAUAAAUUUUCUAGGUAUUACUGAAUUAUACAUUUACUU
This 1929-nucleotide long non-coding RNA is filed under the name Phoenix dactylifera (date palm). RNAcentral describes it as "long non-coding RNA (PDAC_LNC013465)". The record is from RNAcentral. Lineage: Eukaryota; Viridiplantae; Streptophyta; Magnoliopsida; Arecales; Arecaceae.